Long non-coding RNA from Choloepus didactylus (southern two-toed sloth), 910 nucleotides. RefSeq lists it as uncharacterized. The transcript has 4 exons. The record is from RefSeq and is a predicted model, not a curated record. Lineage: Eukaryota; Metazoa; Chordata; Mammalia; Pilosa; Megalonychidae.
CAGAGGGACUCAGAGCAACUGAGUGACAUUUUGGAGAGCAGCUGCAGCUUAUGGAGACAUUUUGGAGAACGCCUAGGAGCAAGCAAAUGCUUAGGAACGUCCUGGGAGAAAGCCAUUUUGAUACCAGAACUCCAGAGCAGACACCAGCGACGUGCCUUCCCAGCUAACAGAGGCUUUCAGAUGCCAUCAGCCAUCCUCCAGUGAAGAAACACAGGUUGAAAUGUUGAUGCCUGAACGAUGUCUGAGAUUUGCUUCGAGGCUGCCGUGUGUGGGAAGCUGCUGAGCAAGCUUGGAAGCGCAUCCUCCAGGUCAGCUCUUCAGAGACCACAACCUCCUGGGAGACCCAGGACCACCCAACCAAGCUGCUCCCUGACCUCAGAAGCCACACGAGAUAAACUUGGCCAGGUGAUGGUGUGCAGGUGUCUGGUCAAGCAAGCACUGGCCUGUUACUGCAAGCACUUUUGUGGCUGUUAAUAAACCAGAAGGCUGGUUUAUUAAAUCAUCAGUCAGUUGGCGGCAGCUGCGACUGAUGAUGCCAAUGAAGGGCGUGUCUGCCACAAUGAGAGAAUCUAAUCAGCUGGAUUUAAUCCAAUCAGUUGGAAGACUUUUAAGGGAGAAGGAGAGAACCUUCACUUCCUCAGACAGCCUCUCCUGGGGUUUCAUCGAAGAGGUUCAUCAGAGUGGCCAGCUCACCACCGGCCGUGUGGAAUUUGGUGGCUUCGUGCAUCCCCACAGUUGCCUGAGACGCUUUUUAAAAAUCUUAUAUUUACAGGGGUGCGCCGAGAACGGCUUCGGGCGGGAUCCGAGUUUCACAGGAGCAGCUUCGGCGUAGCGAACACCCACUGGGCACGGAGGCCUUGCACGAGAAGCGGACGGGCCCGACUCUGCACAGAGGACCCCAGUCAUCGCG